AACUUUCUUUGUCUUUUUUAUUUUAGUUCCCAGAACGUUCUCUCAAAUGUUAGGAUAACAUUCUUUAAAAACAUUCUAAAAAGUUUUAGUAAUAACAUUGUUAGAUCAUCAUUCCCUAACAUUCUUACAAAGUUUUUAGCGGGUAUUUUUUUUUUUAGUUCCCAGAAUGUUCUCUCAAAUGUAAGGAUAACAUUCUCUAAAAACAUUCUAAAACUGUUUAGUAAUAACAUUGUUAGAACAUCAUUCCCUAACAUUCUUACAAAGUUUUUAGCGGGUAGUUUUAUUUUAGUUCCCAGAACGUUCUCUCAAAAGACAGUAUAACAUUCCCUAGAAACAUUCUAAAAUUGUUUAGUGACAACAUUGUUAAAACAGAACUCCGUAACAUUCUUAAAAAGUUUUUAGCACAUAGUUUUAUUUUUGUUCCCAGAACAUUAUUCUAUAAGACAAAAUAACAUUCUCUAAAAACAUUCUUAAAUUGUUUAGUGACAACAUUGUUAGAACAGUAUUCUGUAACAUUCUUAUAAAGUUUUUAGCAGGUAGUUUUAUUUUUGGUCCCAGAACAUUUUCCUAUAAGAUAGGAUAACAUUCUCUUCCAACAUUCUAAAAAUGUUUAGUGAUAACAUUGUUAGAUCAUCAUUCCCUAACAUUCUUACAAAGUUUUUAGCUUUAUUUUUGUUCUCAGAACGUUCUUAUAAAAGGUAGGAUGACAUGCUCUAAAAACACGCUAAAAACUUCUGUGGUGACCUUCUUCACAUGUUUAGUCAUAACAUUAUCCCUUUAAAUUCUUAUAAAGUUUUUAGCAGGAAGUUUUUUUUGUUCCCAGAAUCCUAAACACUCAAAAAAAAAAAAAUGCUUAGCUAUUAAAUUCUUAAAGCAUACAAUUUAAUAACCUAAAAAAAUAACAACAUCAAAAUCUAACUCAGCAUCACGUGUUGAAGAACUCAGAAAAGUGCAGUGCAUAAUCAAGCUUCUGACUGUUGUUUGCUCAGAGAGCGCAUCAUUGUCUUUGCUUGUUGUGGUUCUUGUAGAAGAUAAUACAGUCCUCUGUAUUAAUAGUUGUUCAACUGUUCUUCUCCAGUUUUCCAGCUGCUCUCCCAGUUAGCAGCACUGAGCUCUA
Long non-coding RNA from Cyprinus carpio (common carp), 1117 nucleotides. NCBI's taxonomy places the organism in Eukaryota, Metazoa, Chordata, Actinopteri, Cypriniformes, Cyprinidae. The record is from Ensembl.